AGCGAACGUUAGCGGCGGGCCUAACACAUGCAAGUCGAGCGAGAAAGUGGCUUCGGCCACGAGUAAAGCGGCGGACGGGUGAGUAACACGUAGGUAAUCUUCCCUUGAGCGGGGGACAACGAGCCGAAAGGCUCGCUAAUACCGCAUACGUUUCCAGAGGCCCCGGUCUCUGGAAGGAAAGCUAGGCCGCAAGGUCUGGCACCCGAGGAGGAGCCUGCGUCGCAUCAGCUAGUUGGUGGGGUAACGGCCUACCAAGGCGAAGACGCGUAGCUGGUCUGAGAGGAUGAUCAGCCACACUGGGACUGAGACACGGCCCAGACUCCUACGGGAGGCAGCAGUGGGGAAUAUUGGACAAUGGGCGCAAGCCUGAUCCAGCCACGCCGCGUGAGUGAUGAAGGCCUUCGGGUCGUAAAGCUCUGUGGGGAGGGACGAACCGCUGCACGUUCAUAGCGUGCAGCAUGACGGUACCUCCUUAGCAAGCACCGGCUAACUUCGUGCCAGCCGCCGCGGUAA
RNAcentral lists this ribosomal RNA (513 nucleotides) under uncultured bacterium. Its description in RNAcentral is "partial 16S ribosomal RNA". It matches the Rfam family "Bacterial small subunit ribosomal RNA", at positions 29 to 523 of the family's 1533-position model. The record is from RNAcentral.